UACGUAGGGGGCGAGCGUUGUCCGGAGUUACUGGGCGUAAAGGGCAUGCAGGCGGUCGGACGCGUUUUGUGUGACAGCGGAUGGCUUACCUAUCCGAGCAUACGAAAGACGGUUGGACUUGAGGACUCGAGAGGGACACGGAAUUCCGGGUGGAGUGGUGAAAUGCGUAGAGAUCCGGAGGAACACCGAAGGCGAAGGCAGUGUCCUGGCGAGUGACUGACGCUGAGGUGCGAAAGCCAGGGGAG
RNAcentral lists this ribosomal RNA (245 nucleotides) under uncultured Thermogemmatispora sp. RNAcentral describes it as "partial 16S ribosomal RNA". It matches the Rfam family "Bacterial small subunit ribosomal RNA", at positions 524 to 768 of the family's 1533-position model. The record is from RNAcentral. Lineage: Bacteria; Bacillati; Chloroflexota; Ktedonobacteria; Thermogemmatisporales; Thermogemmatisporaceae.